GAUGAACGCUAGCUACAGGCUUAACACAUGCAAGUCGCGGGGCAGCAUGGGGGUUGCUUGCAAUCCCCGAUGGCGACCGGCGCACGGGUGAGUAACGCGUAUCCAACCUGCCCUUCACCACGGGAUAACCCGGCGAAAGUCGGACUAAUACCGUAUGUUGUCCAUUGACGGCAUCCGAUUUGGACGAAAGGCUUGGCGGUGAGGGAUGGGGAUGCGUCCGAUUAGCCAGACGGCGGGGUAACGGCCCACCGUGGCUACGAUCGGUAGGGGUUCUGAGAGGAAGGUCCCCCACACUGGAACUGAGACACGGUCCAGACUCCUACGGGAGGCAGCAGUGAGGAAUAUUGGUCAAUGGGCGUAAGCCUGAACCAGCCAAGUAGCGUGCAGGAUGACGGCCCUAUGGGUUGUAAACUGCCUUUAUGCGGGGAUAAAGUGGCCCACGUGUGGGCUUUUGCAGGUACCGCAUGAAUAAGGACCGGCUAAUUCCG
RNAcentral lists this ribosomal RNA (488 nucleotides) under uncultured bacterium. Its description in RNAcentral is "partial 16S ribosomal RNA". It matches the Rfam family "Bacterial small subunit ribosomal RNA", at positions 28 to 505 of the family's 1533-position model. The record is from RNAcentral.